CUCCCCCCCCCCCGCCUCUCUCUCACACAUACACGCGUUACUUUUGACACCGCAGUUGUCCCCGUUUGACUCCCGGGAGCAGGACGCAUCACCGGGGGAGGAAGAAACUUCUUCGCCGCUGGUUGAAAUCAAAGGACCGCGAGGAGAAGGUUGUAGCAGCCCACGGACAGCAGUGGCCGCGGUCAGUGGGAUGUUUAGAGCUGUGGAUGCAGGACUGACUGAAGGAGCAUGGUGAAACACCAACCCCUCCAGGUCUAUGAGCGCCAGCUGUGUUUGUCCUGUAUCACUGGGAUCUACGGUUGCCGCUGGAAACGCUACCAACGAUCCCACGAUGACACCACCAAGUGGGAGCUGCUGUGGUCGGUCAUCCUCCUCUUUACCUUCUGUCUGCUGCUGGUCUGGUUCUACUUCUGGUGGGAGGCCCAUAACGACUACAACGAGUUCAACUGGUUCCUCUACAACCGCUCCGGGGAGUGGAGCGAUGGCACCGUUCCCAUCCUGGCCACCACCGCCGCUGGCUUCACCUACGUUGCGUUUUUAAUGGUUUUAGCACUUUGUCAUGUUGCACUUGGGCAACAGCUGAAUUUGCACUGGCUCCAUAAGAUAGGAGUGACUGCUGCUCUGCUCACCACCACCGUCGGGGUGAUAUCUGUCAAUCAAACAUGGGGCCAAGAGUGGGACGUCGUCCCCAUCUCGCUGCAGGCCACAGGUCCCUUCCUGCACAUAGGCGCUCUUGCGGCGGUCACAGCUCUGUCUUGGAUUGUGGCCGGACAAGUCGCCCGCUCGGAAAAAACAAUGUUCCAGGUGGUGGUCGUGCUGCUCUAUCUCAGCCUGUUGCUGGGACUCUACAUGGCGCCCCUGUGCAUCACCUCCCCCUGCAUCAUGGACCCCAGCACCCUCAAGCAGCGCCCCGACGUCAUCGGCCACCGGGGAGCCCCCAUGCUUGCCCCAGAGAACACACUGUGGUCCUUUCAGAAAGCGCUGCAGAUGAACGUCACUGGGUUUGAGGCUGACGUUUCUAUCAGCGUGGACGGAGUGCCUUUCCUGAUGCACGACGACACCCUGCGGAGGACCACCGACGUGGAGAAGGUUUUCCCGGACAGGCGAAUGGAGGACGCCUCGUCCUUCAACUGGACCGAUCUGCAGCAGCUCAGCGCGGGCCGGUGGUUCCUCAAGGAGGACCCUUUCUGGAUGGUGCGCACUCUUUCCCCGCGUGAGAAGGAACUGAUCUCCAACCAGAGUGUGUGCAGCCUGGAGCAGCUUCUGAAGCUGGCUUCCUAUCACAACAGCACAGUGGUUUUCCGGCUGAGGAGGCCCCCCCCGACGCACCCCUGCCACCACAGCUGGAUCAACGAUACUCUGCAGGCCGUGCUGCAGUCCGGGGUUCCUCAGGGUCUGGUGAUGUGGACUCCAGAUGAAUACAGAGCUCAGGUGAGACAGCGGGCUCCGGGUCUGAUCCAGACCUCCGCGAAGAAAGACAGCCCCCAAGGCCUCCAACAGCACGGCGUCAGCAGGCUGCUGCUCAGGUACAACCAGGCCAGCACACAGGAAAUCAGAAACUUCUCCCAGAGCAACGUGAAACUCACCCUGUACACCAUCAACGAGCCCUGGCUGUACUCGGUGCUGUGGUGCAGCGGGGUGUCGUCCGUCUCUUCGGAGGCCUCGCAUAUCCUCAGAAAGGUGCCUUACCCCAUCUGGCUCAUGAGACCAGAUGAAUACUGCCUGAUGUGGGUGUCCAUGGACCUCAUCUCCUUUGCUGUCGUCAUAGGAAUAUUCAUUUUCCAGAACUAUCACAUGAUCAGGUAUCGGAUGAGCGGCAUGCGAAGCUACAACCCGGAGCAGAUCAUGCUGAGCGCCGCCGUGACCAGGUCCAGCAGGGACCUGAACGUCAUGAAGGAGAAACUCAUCUUCUCUGGUCAAGCGCAGUAGCGGCCUGUGUGAUGUGCACCACCUCCAGCAGGGACUUUGUCCUCUAUUCCACCCGCCUGUUGCAUCCCCCGUUGCCUCCACCUCUGUGCCCCCUGUGCCCUUCUCCCCUCCAUUCACCCACCCACCCACCCAUUACCACAUGCACCAUAAAACCUCCCCCACUACCCUCCCACCGGAGACAACGGCACGCCUGGGGGGGGGGGCUUAUAGACGCCCCGGUCUGUCUAGACAGCCUCUAGUGCUGGGGGGGGGGUCAAAGAGGUGGGCAACGGAGUUGGCGGUGCAGACGAGCUGUACGAGGACAACGGCUACGACUACUACGCCAACCACGGCAUCGGCCCGUGAGCCGGCGCCCCGGCCCGCGUGGAUCUGCUGAUGUGAGACUCCCGGGUCUCUGGAUCCUUUCUGUUCCAAGUCAUCGUGAAGGCUGAAACUCCUCCUCCUUCUCCUGCUCCUCCUCCUGCUGCCGGAGGGACGGAGCGCUCCACCCCGAUGGAGAGCAGCCACCACCCGGCGCCUCUCUGUACAUUCUGUAAAUAGUUCUGCGUGGCGUGAACCGCACGGGACCAAGCGCACUUUUCAUUGACGGAAACCUCCAGUCUGCGGCCUCGUCUCCUGCAUCCAAACGUGCGAGAGGCCCCCCCCCCCACGAGUUACCAACGCAAGCUUCUUUUUAAACAUGCGUUUCCACAUUCUUUGUUGUUUUUAAGCUAUUCUUUUCCAAAGUGUUUUACUGUCCACAAGUUUCUUCUCUUCAAGGAGUCUUCUUCUAAGGCCUGAUUGCAGCAUGGGACAGAAAAGCACUAACAUUAAUAUUUAUAUUUAAAUAAAGAAAUAAAUAAAUAAGAGCAAGCUGUUUACAGAAGUCCUGCCUUCUCUUCCAAGUGAAAUAUUCACGUGGUAAAUGUAAGAUAAUCAUUUUGAUAUAGCUUGAAAGCGCGCCCCCCCCCCCCCCCCCCCAGUGCAUGUAACUGUAACGAUGGACACAUGUGAGCUGUGCUCCCAGUACAAGUGGAGAUGGUUUGAGGGGGUAAAGAGCUCCUCUUUUGUGGUUAACGUGAAUGUGUUUGUUCUUUAAGAUGUGAACAGUGUAUUCCAGCUGGCUAUGCUGCUUUUCUUUUGUACCCUGUGUGCAGUGCUAUGUAGAGUGUAUUAUUGUACAUAUAAAAGGUGUGUGUGUGUGUGUGUGUGUGUGUGUGUGUGUGUGUGUGUGUGUGUG
Pungitius pungitius (ninespine stickleback) is the source of this 3148-nucleotide RNA transcript. It is a transcript of the gene named glycerophosphodiester phosphodiesterase domain containing 5b, with no coding region annotated. The record is from RefSeq and is a predicted model, not a curated record. The transcript is spliced from 18 exons. Lineage: Eukaryota; Metazoa; Chordata; Actinopteri; Perciformes; Gasterosteidae.